CACUCAGAUCAAGUAAGCUGUCAUAUGGAUGAAUGUCGCAGGUUGGAAUGAUCCGGAGUAGAACUGUCGGUGUCGUUCCCAUCGUCGUAGGCAUUUUCGGUGGAUUUUGUAGGUCGAUCAACAAUGGUUGCGUGAGUUUUAGCUGUCAAGCUGCUAUGCCGUGCUAGCCGAUUCUUGCGAUCUGGGAUACAAGGGAUGGACGUAUCCUGUGGAAUGAUCGUGUCAGCGAAGGUUUGAAUGUCGCUUAGGACUGGAAAGGAGGGAGUACGGAAACUGUAAUCAGUAUUCAGGAUCUCGCUGUACAUGGGCAAUGUUUAGUUUAGGUGUAUUAAAGUGGUAAUUGUUCGAAGUUAUUUGAAAAGAAUUCUGUUUCAGUGUUUAAGCGCUAAAACUGUUUGUUUUUUGUAAGCAAACGUAUGAUUUAUUGAUCUUCAUUUUUUACUUUAUAACGCUAACGCUAUACAAAUGAUUUUGUUACCAAAUUUAAGUGCGUAUAUAAACAAUAAAUUAAUACUAAAAUAUUUCGAUGAAGACACCAAUGAUGUUUAUUGAUACAUUUUUCUCCUAAGUGCUACUUUCUCAACUUAAAGCAAUAAGUUAUGCAGUAAUUAUACUUCUACGAGUAUAUUUAAACAAAUCAUCAUUCAAAAGCAUUUUACCCAAUACUUAACUUACAUUAAGUAAAAUUUAUCUUUGUCAUUUUAGUCACUUAUUUUUUUAUCAUUCACUAAGCAGUAAGCAAAAUAUAUUUACUAAAAUAAUAAAAAAAAAUACGAUAUUCAUGGUAAGUUGGAUUAGCUAUUUUAUAACACAAACGACUUGAUAUUUUCAUUCAUUAAUUCAGGAAAAUAAAUGUACAAUGAAAAAUAAGUUUUUAUAACCGAUUAAAUUUGUGUAAUGUGUAGUUUUACUCAUCAAUAUAGUAAAAAAAUAUAAUUUGCAUUCAAAUUGUACUAAAGAAUAUUUUAUACUAGCGUAUUUUAGUAACUUAAGUUAGAAUUAAGUAAACAAACAAAAAAAAUAUAAAUAUAAGGAACAUAUAAGGAAAAAAAAGGAAGGCCUUAAAAUAAUAAAUAUAAGGAAGAAAGAAAACUCCGGAUCCGGAUCUGUUUACUCAUCAUCAAGGAAACUUUAAGAAAUAACAUUACUUCAAAUGUCUGCUCGAAGAAAGAUUCAGAAACUUAAACAAUUGCCAAGCUGGAAAUCGAUUAAUGAGUACACAUAAACGCUACAUAGUAAAACUCGCGUGUCCUGUGAUGGAUACAGUAUAUUAUUAUACAUUAGCAUUCAUUGGUGUAUGAAUCGUCAUCGUCAUUGUGUCAGCAAAGACGCAUCAUCAAUUGCACAGAUUUGUGGCUACAAAUAUAUAAAUGAAAAGUGUUAUUUAGAACAUUAUUUAUUGUGUUGUGCAAUAAAAUAGGUCAAUAAUUACCUGUAUCCGGCAGUGCGAACAAUUUCAUUCAUAAACAUGGGUAAAUAUGACGACUGUCAGAUGGGCUAAGCAUGAAAAAAAGUCCUUAAACAAAAUCCCAUUGUUUCGCUAUUGUGUUUGAAAAUCUAAGCCACAGGAGGAUAUUAAGUACGACCAUGCUUUACCUUUAAUGGCGUAUGUAAAAAAAAUUAAGCCUAUAAUCAACAAUGAAUGUUCUAUACCAUCCUAAGCAAAUUCAAAAACAAAUUUGAUCAUGUUAAUUUCUGGCCUCCCACAAGCGGGUCUCACCAGUAUUGACAGAAGAAUGAUCACUCAUCGAUACAAAACAUACAUAAAGUAAUUAAUACAUGUAUACAGGCUAAAUAAAGUGAAGUUGCUAGAAAAUACCUACUACUUGGAAAAACAAUAAUUGGAGAAGAAACCACUACCUAACAACGUGAAACUUUGAUAUUCAAAAUUUUCAAAUCAUAUAUGGCUAAAGCAAAAAAAAUACUUAAGAAUUGAAAUGUAAAAGAAAACACCUUUAGUUACAAAAAUAGAAAGCGAGUCAUAUUUUAUAUUUUCUGGUAAAAUUGUUUAGUUUUAAAUGUUACCAAAUACACCAAAUGUUAUUAGAAAUGAAAGUAACUGCAAAUAGUUUAAUUCAUAUGUGUACAGUCAGUCAUAACCAACAUAAUACCUACGUAAUAUUUUAAGAUAAUCGUUUGUUUUUCUACAUUCGUUGUCUAUGUAUAUUCGUUGUUGGUAUUUACUAUUAUGAGGCAAAUAACAAAUAACUAUGCUUGUUAUUAAUUUGCAUAUACCUACAGAAAAUCCAACUUACCAUGAAUAUAAAAUAAUAUAGUAAGUGCAGAACAAAAACUUAGGGUUUUACAUGGUUUUAUGUUUUCCAGUGGAUCUGGUUAGAGCUAUGUCACGCUAAAUUGUGUUCUUUGCUUUCUUCUUACAAUACUUUUCAAAAGAACACUGUUUCGCAUGAGACGGUUCCUCAAAAAACAUAAUAUCGUGUAUGAGCUAAACUAAAACUUAGGGUUUUACAUGGUUUUAUGUUUUCCAGUGGAUCUGGUUAGAGCCAUGUCACGCUAAAUGGUGUUUAUUGCAUUUCUUCGUACAAUACUUUUCAAUAGAUCACUGUUUCGCAUGAGACGGUUCCUCAAAAAACAUAAUAUCGUGUAUGAGCUAAACAAAAACUUAGGGAUUACAUGGUUUUAUGUUUUCCAGUUGAACUGGUUAGAGCCAUGUCACGCUAAAUAGAAUUCUUGUCAUUUCUUCUUACAAUACUUUUCAAUAAAACACUGUUUCGCAUGAGACGGUUCCUCAAAAAACAUAAUAUCGUGUAUGAGCUAAACAAAAACUUAGGGUUUUACAUGGUUUUAUGUUUUCCAGUGGAUCUGGUUAGAGCUAUGUCACGCUAAAUGGUGUUCUUUGCAUUUCUUCUUACAAUACUUUUCAAUAAAACACUGUUUCGCAUGAGACGGUUCCUCAAAAAACAUAAUAUCGUGUAUAAGCUAAACUAAAACUUAGGGUUUUACAUGGUUUUAUGUUUUCCAGUGUAUCUGGUUAGAGCUAUGUCACGCUAAAUUGUGUUCUUUGCAUUUCUUCUUACAAUACUUUUCAAUAGAACACUGUUUCGCAUGAGACGGUUCCUCAAAAAACAUAAUAUCGUGUAUAAGCUAAACUAAAACUUAGGUUUUAUAUGGUUUUAUGUUUUCCAGUGGAUCUGGUUAGAGCCAUGUCACGCUAAAUGGUGUUUAUUGCAUUUCUUCGUACAAUACUUUUCAAUAGAUCACUGUUUCGCAUGAGACGGUUCCUCAAAAAACAUAAUAUCGUGUAUGAGCUAAACAAAAACUUAGGGAUUACAUGGUUUUAUGUUUUCCAGUUGAACUGGUUAGGGCCAUGUCACGCUAAAUAGAAUUCUUGUCAUUUCUUCUUACAAUACUUUUCAAUAAAACACUGUUUCGCAUGAGACGGUUCCUCAAAAAACAUAAUAUCGUGUAUGAGCUAAACAAAAACUUAGGGUUUUACAUGGUUUUAUGUUUUCCAGUGGAUCUGGUUAGAGCUAUGUCACGCUAAAUGGUGUUCUUUGCAUUUCUUCUUACAAUACUUUUCAAUAAAACACUGUUUCGCAUGAGACGGUUCCUCAAAAAACAUAAUAUCGUGUAUGAGGUAAACAAAAACUUAGGUUUUAUAUGGUUUUAUGUUUUCCAGUGGAUCUGGUUAGAGCCAUGUCACGCUAAAUGGUGUUUUUUGCAUUUCUUCUUACAAUACUUUUCAAUAGAACACUGUUUCGCAUGAGACGGUUCCUCAAAAAAACAUAAUAUCGUGUAUGAGCUAAACUAAAACUUAGGUUUUAUAUGGUUUUAUGUUUUCCAGUGGAUCUGGUUAGAGCCAUGUCACGCUAAAUGGUGUUUUUUGCAUUUCUUCUUACAAUACUUUUCAAUAGAACACUGUUUCGCAUGAGACGGUUCCUCAAAAAACAUAAUAUCGUGUAUGAGCUAAACUAAAACUUAGGUUUUAUACGGUUUUAUGUUUUCCAGUGGAUCUGGUUAGAGCCAUGUCACACUAAAUGGUGUUUAUUGCAUUUCUUCGUACAAUACUUUUCAAUAUAUCACUGUUUCGCAUGAGACGGUUCCUCAAAAAACAAAAUAUCGUGUAUGAGCUAAACAAAAACUUAGGUUUUAUAUGGUUUUAUGUUUUCCAGUGGAUCUGGUUAGAGCUAUGUCACGCUAAAUGGUGUUUUUUGCAUUUCUUCUUACAAUACUUUUCAAUAGAACACUGUUUCGCAUGAGACGGUUCCUCAAAAAACAUAAUAUCGUGUAUGAGCUAAACAAAAACUUAGGUUUUAUAUGGUUUUAUGUUUUCCAGUGGAUCUGGUUAGAGCCAUGUCACGCUAAAUAGCAUUCUUGUCAUUUCUUCUUUCCAUCCUUUAUAUUAUAUUAAAUAAUAUUUCAUACGGUAUUAUUUCGUUCUUUAAUUUAAUGUGUUUUUAGUGCUUCUGAAUGUGAUUUUGUUUUAAAUACUUAGCUUAUUAGCAUUCAUCAGUAUCCAAGAAUUCAUCAUAUUACUGCUAAUCAAUAAACAAACAACGGUUUUAGCGUUUAAAUACCGAAAAAACAACCUGCCUGUUCAUUUAUUACUUGUUUUAUUAAACAGGAAUUUGCAUAUCGAUCGUUUUCAAUUAACUUCGAACAGUUACAACUACACGUAAACUGAGCAUGUAGUCUAUCUACAGCAAGAUCGUGACCGCUGACUGCAGCUCUCCUUCUCCCUCCAUUUCACUCCCAAUCGACAUUUUCACCUUUGCUGAUAUGAUUACUCCACAGGAUACCUCCAUCCCCUGCAUACCUGGUCGCUAGAUUCGGCUGGCACGUCAUAUCGGUUUGACAGCCAACUCACGUAACUAUUGUUGAUUGAUCCACAGUCCACUGAAGUGCCUACGAUGAAGGGAACAACAUGGACAGUUCUACUCCGAAUUACUCCAACCCAUGCGAUGUUCAUCCAUGCGACAACCCACCUGAUCUGAGUGGAACUUAACUGAAGCAAGAGAGUGAUGCCUAAUUCCAUCUGCCAACUAGCUCCACUUCUCUCCCGUGCACCAGUCGCACCCACACCGACGUGUUCAUCUUGCCAGUUUUCCUCACACCCGUCCACUUGUCUCUUGAAGAUUGGCGUCCACAACACCAACGGUUGGUUAGGUCAUGCAAGCAUUGUUACAAUUGAUAAAAACACAUAUUUUCAUUUAGUGAAUGUGAUAACCUGUACUAAUAAUUUGGUCAACUUAGCGAUGAUAACUCAAUGUAAGUAUUAACAAACUCGGUACGUGUUUGUUAUUGUCAAUAGUAUCUUUAAAUUGUACAACUCGCUUAUGUUUGACAAUUACUGAGUAAUUGCUUUGCUUAUUGCAUGCUAAUUGCUGAAAAUUGCUUUUUAUUUUAAAUUCCUUAGCUAAAAAUUGCUUUUUCUUUCACAUUUCUCUGCUUAUUGAAUGACUAUUGCUAACUCAUUAGAUAGAACCUACUUCUCAUAUAAGUAGGUGGAUGCGGCCUCGAUUAGCGGGGGAACCACAUGAAAAAAAGCGAGCUACUGGGUGUACCUCCUGGGUAGUUUGGAAAUCACCUAAAAUAUAUAUGUAUAUAUUUAUAAAUAAAAGUUAAUAUAUAUAAAUUAACAUUGUUAUUUUUUAACAGGAAAUGCACAAUGCUAAAAACUGCGUAGGAGAUUUUAAUACAAUAGUACUACCAAGCCUGAUGUUGGCCGCUAUUUCAAUGAAUGCAGCAGUGUGACAGCUAGCAAUCAAAAGUAACAAGAUAUCGAGGAAAUGCAGAUGGCAAUAAACUGUGUAGGAGUUCAUGAUUGCAAUAGAAUAAAAUCGACCAAGCUUGAAGUCAGCAGCCCCUUCAAUGAAUGCAGCAGUGUGACAGCCAGCAAUCAAAAGUUACAAGAUAUCGAGGAAAUGCAGAAGGCAAAAAACUGCGUAGGAGAUCAUUAAUACAAAAGUAUUAUAUAAACCAAACCUGAUGUUGCCAGCUCCUUCAAUGAAUGCAGCAGUGUGACAGCCAACAAUCAAAAGUAACAAGAUAUCGAGGAAAUGCAGAAGGCAAAAAACUGCGUAGGAGAUCAUUAAACAAUAGUAUUAUAUAAACCAAACCUGAUGUUGGCCGCUCAUUCAAAGAAUGCAGCAGUGUGACAGCCAGCAAUCAAAAGUAACAAGAUGUCGAGGAAAUGCAGAGUAUAAUAAACUGUGUAGGAGAUUAUGAUUGCAAUAGAAUAAAAUCGACCAAGCCUGAAGUCCUUCAAUGCACGCAGCAGUGUGACAGCCAGCAAUCAAAAGUUACAAGAUAUCGAGGAAAUACAGAAGGCAAAGAAGCAGAUGUCAUCAAAGAAGAUCUUUGUUCCUGCAAUGUUUCCGCAGACGAUACAACCAACAGAGCGAAGUGGAAGGAAAAGACUCGGAAUAAAGACCCCACCACCAUAUGGGAACAAUGCAAGGGAGAGAGAGAGAAUAUAAUGUUAUAUUUUUAUUUUUUGAUAACAUAAAAUAAA
This 6475-nucleotide long non-coding RNA is filed under the name Pectinophora gossypiella (pink bollworm). RNAcentral describes it as "uncharacterized LOC126372752". Lineage: Eukaryota; Metazoa; Arthropoda; Insecta; Lepidoptera; Gelechiidae. The record is from RNAcentral.